RNAcentral lists this ribosomal RNA (164 nucleotides) under Cicer bijugum. RNAcentral describes it as "5.8S ribosomal RNA". It matches the Rfam family "5.8S ribosomal RNA". From Rfam's summary of the family: 5.8S ribosomal RNA (5.8S rRNA) is a component of the large subunit of the eukaryotic ribosome. It is transcribed by RNA polymerase I as part of the 45S precursor that also contains 18S and 28S rRNA. The record is from RNAcentral. Lineage: Eukaryota; Viridiplantae; Streptophyta; Magnoliopsida; Fabales; Fabaceae.
AGAAUGACUCUCGGCAACGGAUAUCUAGGCUCUUGCAUCGAUGAAGAACGUAGCGAAAUGCGAUACUUGGUGUGAAUUGCAGAAUCCCGUGAACCAUCGAGUCUUUGAACGCAAGUUGCGCCCGAUGCCAUUGGGUUGAGGGCACGUCUGCCUGGGUGUCACAU